GACGAACGCUGGCGGCGUGCUUAACACAUGCAAGUCGAACGGAAAGGCCCUGCUUUUGUGGGGUGCUCGAGUGGCGACCGGGUGAGUUACCCGUGAGUAACCUGCCCCUGACUUUGGGAUAACUUCAGGCAACUGGGGCUCUUACCGGAUAGGAGCUCCUGCUGUUUGGUGGGGGUUGGAAAGUUUCGGUGGUUGGGGAUGGACUUGCGGCUUAUCAGCUUGUUGGUGGGGUAGUGGAUUACCAAGGCUUUGACAGGUAGCCGGGCUGAGAUGGUGACCGGCCACGUUGGGACGGAGAUGCGACCCGGACCCCUCCGGGACGGAGCGGAGCAGAAUAUUGCACAAUGGGCUGAAGCCUAAUGCAACAACGCCGCGUGGGGGAUAACAGCCUUCGGGUUGUAUUCCGCUUUCGCCUGUGACGAAGCGUGAGUGACGGUAAUGGGAAAAGAAGCACCGGCUAACCACGUG
RNAcentral lists this ribosomal RNA (468 nucleotides) under uncultured bacterium. RNAcentral's name for it is "partial 16S ribosomal RNA". It matches the Rfam family "Bacterial small subunit ribosomal RNA", at positions 28 to 507 of the family's 1533-position model. The record is from RNAcentral.